GAUGAACGCUAGCGGCAGGCCUAAUACAUGCAAGACGAACGGUAAGUUGAGUAGCAAUACUUAGCCAAGAGUGUCGUACGGGUGCGUAACACGUAUGCAACCUACCCUAUACAGGAGGAUAGCCUAGGGAAACCUGGAUUAACCCUUCAUAGUAUUAUUGGAUGGCAUCAUUUGAUAAUUAAAACUGAGGUGGUAUAGGAUGGGCAUGCGUCUGAUUAGUUAGUUGGCGGGGUAAUGGCCCACCAAGACGAUGAUCAGUAGGGGUUCUGAGAGGAAGAUCCCCCACACUGGCACUGAGAUACGGGCCAGACUCCUACGGGAGGCAGCAGUAGGGAAUAUUGGGUCAAUGGAUGCAAGUCUGAACCAGCCAUGCCGCGUGCAGGAAGAAGGCCUUCUGGGUUGUAAACUGCUUUUGCCAGGGGAUAAAUUUCCAUGCGUGGAAAACUGAAGGUACCUGGUGAAUAAGCCACGGCUAACUACGUGCCAGCAG
This 490-nucleotide ribosomal RNA is filed under the name uncultured bacterium. RNAcentral describes it as "bacterial SSU rRNA". It matches the Rfam family "Bacterial small subunit ribosomal RNA", at positions 28 to 514 of the family's 1533-position model. The record is from RNAcentral.